GAUGAACGCUAGCGGGAGGCCUAAUACAUGCAAGUCGAGCGGGAUCCGCCUUUCGGGGUGGUGAGAGCGGCGAACGGGUGAGUAACGCGUACGUAACCUGCCUUACAGAGGGAGAUAGCCCCGGGAAACUGGGAUUAAUAUUCCAUGGUAUCAUAGGGUCGCAUGGUCUUAUGAUUAAAGUUGAGGCGCUGUAAGAUGGGCGUGCGUGCUAUUAGCUAGUUGGUGAGGUAACGGCUCACCAAGGCUACGAUAGCUAGGGGGCGUGAGAGCGUGGCCCCCCACACGGGUACUGAGACACGGACCCGACUCCUACGGGAGGCAGCAGUAAGGAAUAUUGGACAAUGGUCGGAAGACUGAUCCAGCCAUCCCGCGUGAAGGAUGACUGCCCUAUGGGUUGUAAACUUACUUUUAUAUGGGAAGAAACCCCUGGAUUUAUCUGGGGCUGACGGUACCAUAUGAAUAAGCACCGGCUAACUCCGUGCCAGCAGCCGCGGUAAUACGGAGGGUGCAAGCGUUAUCCGGAAUCACUGGGUGUAAAGGGUGCGUAGGUGGCUUGGUAAGUCAGAGGUGAAAGCCCGUCGCUCAACGACGGAAUUGCCUUUGAUACUGCCGAGCUUGAAUUAGGUUGAGGUAGGCGGAAUGUGGCAUGUAGCGGUGAAAUGCAUAGAUAUGCCAUAGAACACCAAUUGCGAAGGCAGCUUACUGGACCUGGAUUGACGCUGAGGCACGAAAGCGUGGGGAUCAAACAGGAUUAGAUACCCUGGUAGUCCACGCCCUAAACGAUGCUUACUCGAUAUUUGUCCUCCGGGAUGAGUGUCCAAGGGAAACCGAUAAGUAAGCCACCUGGGGAGUACGCGCGCAAGCGUGAAACUCAA
RNAcentral lists this ribosomal RNA (875 nucleotides) under uncultured bacterium. RNAcentral's name for it is "bacterial SSU rRNA". It matches the Rfam family "Bacterial small subunit ribosomal RNA", at positions 28 to 904 of the family's 1533-position model. The record is from RNAcentral.